AGAGUUUGAUCAUGGCUCAGGAUGAACGCUAGCGGCAGGCCUAACACAUGCAAGUUGAGGGGCAGCAUGAAUAGUAGCAAUAUUAUUUGAUGGCGACCAGCGCACGGGUGCGUAACACGUAUGCAAUCUACCUUGUACAGGGGCAUAACUUCGAGAAAUCGUUGCUAAUUCCCCAUAAGACUAUAGAGUGGCAUCACUUAGUAGUUAAAACUCCGGUGGUACAAGAUGAGCAUGCGUCCCAUUAGCUAGUUGGUGUGGUAACGGCAUACCAAGGCUACGAUGGGUAGGGGUCCUGAGAGGGAGAUCCCCCACACUGGUACUGAGACACGGACCAGACUCCUACGGGAGGCAGCAGUGAGGAAUAUUGGUCAAUGGGCGCAAGCCUGAACCAGCCAUGCCGCGUGCAGGAUGAAGCAUCUAUGGUGUGUAAACUGCUUUUGUACAGGAAGAAACACUCCCUCGUGAGGGAGCUUGACGGUACUUAAGAAU
RNAcentral lists this ribosomal RNA (489 nucleotides) under uncultured Flavobacterium sp. Its description in RNAcentral is "bacterial SSU rRNA". It matches the Rfam family "Bacterial small subunit ribosomal RNA", at positions 8 to 487 of the family's 1533-position model. The record is from RNAcentral. Lineage: Bacteria; Pseudomonadati; Bacteroidota; Flavobacteriia; Flavobacteriales; Flavobacteriaceae.